GACGAACGCUGGCGGCGUGCCUAAUACAUGCAAGUAGGACGCAGUUGCGAACGGGUGAGUAACGCGUAGGUCACUGCCUAUGGGAGGGGGAUAGCUAUUGGAAACGAUAGCUAAUACCGCAUACUAGUAGAUGGACCUGCGUUGUAUUUGCUAGUAGGUAGGGUAAUGGCCUACCUAGGCGCCGAUACAUAGCCGCGCUGGGAGGGUGGACGGCCACACUGGGACUGGGACACGGCCCAGACUCCUACGGGAGGCAGCAGUAGGGAAUCUUCGGCAAUGGGGGGAACCCUGACCGAGCAACGCCGCGUGAGUGAAGAAGGUUUUCGGAUCGUAAAGCUCUGUUGUUAAGGAAGCGGUACUUAACCAGAAAGGGACGGCUAACUACGUGCCAGCAGCCGCGGUAAUAC
Molecule: ribosomal RNA, 407 nt
Filed under: uncultured bacterium
Lineage: Bacteria
Description: partial 16S ribosomal RNA
Rfam family: Bacterial small subunit ribosomal RNA
Source: RNAcentral